Molecule: long non-coding RNA, 2067 nt
Organism: Gallus gallus (chicken)
Lineage: Eukaryota; Metazoa; Chordata; Aves; Galliformes; Phasianidae
Source: Ensembl
AUCUCUUUCUCAAGAUCCCUCUUUUGUGAAGCUUUUCAUUGCAAGCUUAAAUCUCCAGAUAUGGUGGUAACAGAACAAACACAGCCAUUGGGUGCAGGUUGUGAUAAAGACCAAAUUCUGCAGAGCUUUGUACACGUGGGUCUGGAUUCUGCAAAACUGCUUUGGGAAGCUUUGAAGGCAAGUGCAAAAGAACAAUACUGCUGCUCCCUAGUGCUAUGAUCUGCAAGGAAUGAAGGCCAAGAGAAACAACUUUCAUGAGGUGGGAAAUGGUUUGAAAGGUUUCAGCAACAGUCUUGAGAAUGAUCUGCAGAAGUACAGAAAGAUGGCAGCUGAGGGGCAGUCUGAUAGAAUGGUGCCUGACAUGGAAAUGCAUACAAAGAAAAUGUGGGCCAUUGAAUUCCUCCAUGCAGAAAAAAAUGGCACACACUGACGUUCAUUGCUGCUUGAUGAAUGUUUAUAGAGACUGAAAAUGGAUAUGAGCACAGUGAGGCAGUGGGUGCUGUUUCAACAGUGGUGACAGUGGGUCACCUUUGCUGGUACAGAUUUUGACAAGCACAGCAUGGAGACUCUUGUUCAUUGCUGGCAAAAAUGCAUAGUUAAUGGUGGUGACUGUUGAAAAAUAGUGAUGUGUAACUGAGAAAUUGGUGUAUCCAUUAAUGUUCUCUUUGUAUCUGUUGUAUACCUACAUAUAAUAACAAACUAUAGUGGAGAUACAACUUCCAAGUACAUCCCAAGCACAUUUUUUUCUGUUUGAAAACUGAAUAGAUUGUCUAACAUACAUUUUUGUCUCUAAAAUAGCAUUUUAGCUUGCCAGAAUAGUCAUGCUUCUUACAAACCUUUUCCGGUGUAAAACAGAACUGAAAUCUUCAUGGAAACAAUCUUAAAUAAAAUACCAUUCUGAAAUACUUCAUUCGCUCUGAAAACAAAAUGGCAUGUAAUUCUUAGAAAGCAUUAUAAUACUUAUAAAAAAAAUUAUGCCUACAUAAAUCUUACAAAUAUAAACACUGUACAAAGAAAGCAAGGGUCUAAUCUCUGAUUACCAUGUUUGCCUCUGCAGAAAUGGGCUUUUUUAAUGCAUUUCUUUAUAGGGUCAAACGCAUUUAACUCUUAAACUCUAAGAUUAAGAGGAUUAUCUAUGGAUUAUCUAUACAUAUAUGUGACAGCGCUGCUUGCUGAUGUCCUUUGCUGAGAACAAUAACCCAAUUUUCACAGUACUCUGAAUUCUACAUUAGCCCACCAACACCAUCAUGAUGGACCAGGUCUGGUACAGCAGAUUACUUAACUGAAGCAUUUUUUUUGCAAGUUACCCAUGUGCCACAAAUUUAGAGGGACACUAUAUUGUAUAAGUCUUUUACUUUUAAUAUGGCACAACAAGCACUCAGUGUUUCCGUUUUUGCAGACUUUCUUCUCACAGAGAAAUGAAGCAUGCUGAAUGUAUCCUUUUGCAACCGUCACAUGAGGUGGAAUCAAGUCUCUAAAUGUGCAGGGGACUGGCAAAGUAGCUGGAGAAAUAAAUCUGAAACUGUUAAAUUAUUUAGUGAUCGUUCUGAACUCAAGGUGAUCUCCAUUAGUAUGGAAGAAGUUCUUAUAUAUUACUGGAGAAAUUCUUUGACUCACAAACUCUCAGGUAUACUCUGAGACAAAAAAAAAAAAACAACAACAGGAUUCAUUAUUUCAGUCUCCCAAUUUAAUUAGAUGAGAGAAAUGUCUGUGGCUGAAAGCAGUUACUUGCAUUUUGUAAAUUUUUCAUUGCUUUUUACUUCGAGCCAUGUACAAAAAUAGUAAUUUGCUCUUGCAGAAACUGUCACUAUACCUGGAAUUUACAAUGAGCAAUACUUGCAAUAACUUAAUCAGAGAAAAUAAGUAAAAUUCAUGUGUUUCUUACCUUGCCUUGAGCAUGAUGGCUCAGCUUCAGAUGAAUGUACAGCUACAGGACUCUGAAGUGAGACAAAAUCUCUUCCUAGCGCUAGUUGUACUGAGUCUUUUUAAACCUUAGUUUAGUAUUAGUUUAAAAGUGAGAAUUGUUCUCUACAAACCAAUUCCUAAGAAAAUAAAGCAGUGUCUUUU